RNAcentral lists this microRNA precursor (77 nucleotides) under Schistosoma haematobium. RNAcentral describes it as "mir-3492 microRNA precursor family". It matches the Rfam family "mir-3492 microRNA precursor family". The record is from Rfam by way of RNAcentral. Lineage: Eukaryota; Metazoa; Platyhelminthes; Trematoda; Strigeidida; Schistosomatidae.
GGCUUCUGUAUCCGUGCCGAGACUUCAUCAAACACCAGACCACAAGGGCUAAUGAGACUCCCAAGAUAAGUGAAGUG